UACGUAGGGUGCAAGCGUUAAUCGGAAUUACUGGGCGUAAAGCGUGCGCAGGCGGUCUUUUAAGUCAGAUGUGAAAUCCCCGGGCUUAACCUGGGAACUGCGUUUGAAACUGGAAGGCUAGAGUGUGGCAGAGGGGGGUGGAAUUCCACGUGUAGCAGUGAAAUGCGUAGAGAUGUGGAGGAACACCGAUGGCGAAGGCAGCCCCCUGGGCUAACACUGACGCUCAUGCACGAAAGCGUGGGGAGCAAACAGG
Molecule: ribosomal RNA, 253 nt
Filed under: uncultured bacterium
Lineage: Bacteria
Description: partial 16S ribosomal RNA
Rfam family: Bacterial small subunit ribosomal RNA
Source: RNAcentral